UCAGUCGGCCGGACGGCCGCUCCGGCAAGGAUCGAAAGGUCGCCGGGGAGGAAAGUCCGGGCUCCAUCGACAUACGGUGCCGGAUAACACCCGGCGGGGGCGACCCCAGGGAAAGUGCCACAGAGAACGAACCGCCUGAUUUUCGGAUCAGGUAAGGGUGAAAAGGUGCGGUAAGAG
This 177-nucleotide RNase P RNA is filed under the name Afipia sp. RNAcentral's name for it is "partial RNase P RNA component class A". It matches the Rfam family "Bacterial RNase P class A", at positions 1 to 173 of the family's 367-position model. Rfam says of the family: Ribonuclease P (RNase P) is a ubiquitous endoribonuclease, found in archaea, bacteria and eukarya as well as chloroplasts and mitochondria. Its best characterised activity is the generation of mature 5'-ends of tRNAs by cleaving the 5'-leader elements of precursor-tRNAs. Lineage: Bacteria; Pseudomonadati; Pseudomonadota; Alphaproteobacteria; Hyphomicrobiales; Nitrobacteraceae. The record is from RNAcentral.